AGACAUUUAGUAUUAACAAAAACAUUUGAUUUCGGCUCAAAAGCUUAUGGUUCAAACCCAUAUCUGUCUA
RNAcentral lists this transfer RNA (70 nucleotides) under Chelidoperca hirundinacea. RNAcentral describes it as "tRNA-Arg". It matches the Rfam family "tRNA". Rfam says of the family: Transfer RNA (tRNA) molecules are approximately 80 nucleotides in length. Their secondary structure includes four short double-helical elements and three loops (D, anti-codon, and T loops). The record is from RNAcentral. Lineage: Eukaryota; Metazoa; Chordata; Actinopteri; Perciformes; Serranidae.